UGGGGAAUCUUGGACAAUGGGCGCAAGCCUGAUCCAGCCAUGCCGCGUGAGUGAUGAAGGCCCUAGGGUUGUAAAGCUCUUUCAACGGUGAAGAUAAUGACGGUAGCCGGAGAAGAAGCCCCGGCUAACUCCGUGCCAGCAGCCGCGGUAAUACGGAGGGGGCUAGCGUUGUUCGGAAUUACUGGGCGUAAAGCGCGCGUAGGCGGAUUGUUAAGUCGGGGGUGAAAUCCCGGGGCUCAACCCGGAACUGCCUUCGAUACUGGCAAUCUAGAGAUCUGGAGAGGCGAGUGGAAUUCCGAGUGUAGAGGUGAAAUUCGUAGAUAUUCGGAGGAACACCAGUGGCGAAGGCGGCUCGCUGGCCAGAUACUGACGCUGAGGUGCG
RNAcentral lists this ribosomal RNA (382 nucleotides) under uncultured bacterium. RNAcentral describes it as "bacterial SSU rRNA". It matches the Rfam family "Bacterial small subunit ribosomal RNA", at positions 355 to 755 of the family's 1533-position model. The record is from RNAcentral.